GAUGAACGCUAGCUACAGGCUUAACACAUGCAAGUCGCGGGGUAACAUCUGGUAGAGCUUGCUCUUCCAGGAUGACGACCGGCGCACGGGUGAGUAAACGCGUAUCCAACCUGGCCCAUACCACGGGAUAGCCCGUCGAAAGGCGGAUUAAUACCGUAUGCUGUCAUUAAGAUGCAUAUAUUGAUGACGAAAGGACUGGCGGUAUGGGAUGGGGAUGCGUCUGAUUAGCUUGUUGGCGGGGUAACGGCCCACCAAGGCGACGAUCAGUAGGGGUUCUGAGAGGAAGGUCCCCCACAUUGGAACUGAGACACGGUCCAAACUCCUACGGGAGGCAGCAGUGAGGAAUAUUGGUCAAUGGGCGUAAGCCUGAACCAGCCAAGUAGCGUGAGGGAAGACUGCCCUACGGGUUGUAAAACCUCUUUUGUUUGGGAAUAAAGUGCGGGACGUGUCCCGCAUUGCAUGUACCAUUUGAAUAAGGACCGGCUAAUUCCGUGCCAGCCGCCGCGGUAAU
Molecule: ribosomal RNA, 511 nt
Filed under: uncultured bacterium
Lineage: Bacteria
Description: bacterial SSU rRNA
Rfam family: Bacterial small subunit ribosomal RNA
Source: RNAcentral